RNAcentral lists this transfer RNA (73 nucleotides) under Firmicutes bacterium HGW-Firmicutes-1. RNAcentral describes it as "tRNA-Pro". It matches the Rfam family "tRNA". From Rfam's summary of the family: Transfer RNA (tRNA) molecules are approximately 80 nucleotides in length. Their secondary structure includes four short double-helical elements and three loops (D, anti-codon, and T loops). RNAcentral also lists the same sequence under 1 other name. The record is from RNAcentral. Lineage: Bacteria; Bacillati; Bacillota.
ACAGGAGUGGCUCAGUUGGUAGAGCACUAGGCUGGGGGUCUAGGGGUCGAGGGUUCGAGUCCCUUCUCUUGUG